RNAcentral lists this transfer RNA (76 nucleotides) under Micrococcus luteus. Its description in RNAcentral is "tRNA-Ala". It matches the Rfam family "tRNA". From Rfam's summary of the family: Transfer RNA (tRNA) molecules are approximately 80 nucleotides in length. Their secondary structure includes four short double-helical elements and three loops (D, anti-codon, and T loops). Lineage: Bacteria; Bacillati; Actinomycetota; Actinomycetes; Micrococcales; Micrococcaceae. RNAcentral also lists the same sequence under 3 other names. The record is from RNAcentral.
GGGGCCUUAGCUCAGCUGGGAGAGCGCCUGCUUUGCACGCAGGAGGUCAGCGGUUCGAUCCCGCUAGUCUCCACCA